AUAAAUGAACCAAGUGCUGUUUUUGGAGUGGUAAAAUCUAUAAAACUCCCAUGGAAAAGACCAACAAGGAGACAUGGGCUCUGCAUUAUCGUUAACGAACAGAAACAAGUGAAGAAAAUAAUGGAAAAUAAAUACUACUAUGAUGGGCUUAAUAAAUGUGAAAUAAAAGCAGCUGUAUCAAAGGAACAGUAUCAGCAACAAUAGUGAGGGCCUAAAGGAGGAUUUUCAGGAAGGUCUUGGGUAAUAAGUGGUAACUAGCAGAAUGAUUAUGGGAAAGUAUCUAGGCCAGGUGGUUAUCCAAACAGCUGCAAACCAUACAAAAUGAUUUCAUUUACUUCUUAUCUGCAACAACAGGUUGUAAGACAGUACUUUCCAAUUUGAAGAAUCAUUUGAGAGUGGCUCCUGUCACCUGUUAAUAGCAGUUAAACUAACUCUUUUGUAUCAAUUAGCUAAAUGGAGGCAUGAUGUUGGGUCCCUC
RNAcentral lists this long non-coding RNA (478 nucleotides) under Homo sapiens (human). RNAcentral's name for it is "non-protein coding lnc-LGSN-4:1". The record is from RNAcentral. Lineage: Eukaryota; Metazoa; Chordata; Mammalia; Primates; Hominidae.